GACGAACGCUGGCGGCGUGCUUAACACAUGCAAGUCGAACGGAAAGGCCCUGCUUUUGUGGGGUGCUCGAGUGGCGAACGGGUGAGUAACACGUGAGUAACCUUCCCUUGACUUUGUGAUAACUUCAGGAAACUGGGGCUAAUACCGGAUAGGAGCUCCUGCUGCAUGGUGGGGUUUGGAAAGUUUAGGCGGUGGUGGAUGGAGUCCGGGGUAAUUAGCUUGUGGGUGGGGGAGUGGCUUACCCAGCGUUCGACGGAUGGGCGGCAUGGGAGGGGGAACGGGGUCCUUGGGACUAAGAUAGGGAGCAGACUGCUACGGGAGGCAGCAGGGGGGAGUAUUGCACAAUGGGCGGAAGCCUGAGGAAGAAACGCCGCGUGCGGGAUGAAGGCCUUCGGGUUGUAAACCGCUUUAACCUGUGACGAAGCGUGAGUGACGGUAAUGGGUAAAGAAGCACCGGCUAACUACGUG
RNAcentral lists this ribosomal RNA (468 nucleotides) under uncultured bacterium. Its description in RNAcentral is "partial 16S ribosomal RNA". It matches the Rfam family "Bacterial small subunit ribosomal RNA", at positions 28 to 507 of the family's 1533-position model. The record is from RNAcentral.